Molecule: ribosomal RNA, 253 nt
Filed under: uncultured bacterium
Lineage: Bacteria
Description: partial 16S ribosomal RNA
Rfam family: Bacterial small subunit ribosomal RNA
Source: RNAcentral
UACGAAGGGGGCUAGCGUUGUUCGGAAUUACUGGGCGUAAAGCGCGUGUAGGCGGCUCGAUAAGUCGGAUGUGAAAGCCCUGGGCUCAACCUAGGAAGUGCAUUCGAAACUGCUGAGCUUGAGUUCUGGAGAGGAAGGCGGAAUUCUCGGUGUAGAGGUGAAAUUCGUAGAUAUCGAGAGGAACACCGGUGGCGAAGGCGGCCUUCUGGACAGCAACUGACGCUGAGACGCGAAAGCGUGGGGAGCAAACAGG